RNAcentral lists this ribosomal RNA (351 nucleotides) under Triticum aestivum (bread wheat). Its description in RNAcentral is "partial small subunit ribosomal RNA". Lineage: Eukaryota; Viridiplantae; Streptophyta; Magnoliopsida; Poales; Poaceae. The record is from RNAcentral.
UGCUGUCGCAAUCGCCCGCAGAACCCCAUCCAACCCAUCGCUCGCUCGCCAAGAUCCAAGGCAGCCGCGACGGCUGGGAGACUGGGAGGACGCGCGCGGGAGGAGAUCCAAGGAGGCCGAGGAAGGCCCCGGCGGCGCCACUGGCCUAGAAGCCCGUGGCCGGUGACGAUAACAGAGAGGGCGUCGCCAGCUCGGACACCCCGCUCGCCUUACCCGAGGGCGACCAGUACGACGAGGUGGCGGCGGGGAGGACGAGGCCAUGGCCAGCGCACAGGACAAGUGGGCGCAACAGGAGCAGGCCAGCCCGCCAUGGCAGUGGAUCGGGGGCGACGGCGGCUACUCCUUGGUUAA